GGUAAACCUUGGCGGCGUGCCUAAUACAUGCAAGUUGAGCGCUGAAGGUUGGUACUUGUACCCACUGGAUGAGCAGCGAACGGGUGAGUAACGCGUGGGGAAUCUGCCUUUGAGCGGGGGACAACAUUUGGAAACGAAUGCUAAUACCGCAUAAAAACUUUAAACACAAGUUUUAAGUUUGAAAGAUGCAAUUGCAUCACUCAAAGAUGAUCCCGCGUUGUAUUAGCUAGUUGGUGAGGUAAAGGCUCACCAAGGCGAUGAUACAUAGCCGACCUGAGAGGGUGAUCGGCCACAUUGGGACUGAGACACGGCCCAAACUCCUACGGGAGGCAGCAGUAGGGAAUCUUCGGCAAUGGACGAAAGUCUGACCGAGCAACGCCGCGUGAGUGAAGAAGGUUUUCGGAUCGUAAAACUCUGUUGGUAGAGAAGAACGUUGGUGAG
RNAcentral lists this ribosomal RNA (441 nucleotides) under Lactococcus lactis subsp. lactis. Its description in RNAcentral is "bacterial SSU rRNA". It matches the Rfam family "Bacterial small subunit ribosomal RNA", at positions 28 to 459 of the family's 1533-position model. The record is from RNAcentral. Lineage: Bacteria; Bacillati; Bacillota; Bacilli; Lactobacillales; Streptococcaceae.